UGUAGCGGAACGCCAAUAUUAAAUCCACGAAUUCCGCUGGUUCAGGAAAUAAUCCACAGUCGAGCGCUGGAAAAAGCAAGGCAAUAUCCCAAAUCUCCCAGUAACCGGACGAAACACAGUUCUGAGAGUCAACUGAGGUCUUUUAUUUCAGCUCCACAAUUUAUACAAGUCCCCAUGCAAGGGGUUUCUUGAGUCCCUUCCCAGAGGGGACUACAUGGGGGACUUAUUAUACCGUUGAGUGGAUUAUCCCUCCGUGCAGCAGAACCUACAAUUCGUAUUAAAAUGCAUAACUGUAGUAAUAUACGGUCUAUUUGCACGAAUGGAUGUUCGGUAGAUAGCUGGGGUCUGAGCGCAUCAUUCGUGAGAUUACCGCUCAGAUCCCAGCUAAAACAACCGAACGCCGCACGAAAAACACAUUUAUUAAAAGACAUGUUCCAGGAAACAAAGUAACGAAUGGCCCGGAGCUCCCGAACGGCCUGGAGGUUCAGCGGUGUUCGCGCCGUCGAGUAGCCGUUUUUAGUACCAUGCGCUCGACGACCUAACACCGCUGAGGGAACAAAGGAUCCAAGAUGGCCGACCGCCGCAUGGUCGGUAGUCGAACGGCGGCCACCUAGGAGAGCCUCUAAUUACCGAUUGCAACAUUGUUGCAAUCGGUUAACAAGCGCCACACGCCUCUAAGUGUGUGGGCUAUUACAUGGGGGUGUUUUCGGUUCACGAACGGCCCGCAAAAGUGCCGUUCGUGAAACUAAAGAAAAAUCCAAUACAAACAGCUAUCUGCAUUCGGCAGAUAGCCAAUACAACAAAUACAUGUAAAUACAACCCGUAUACAUUCAACAUAGUUAAGCCCGUAUCUCCCAACCAUAUAGGCAACCCUUAAAGGCACAGUCUCGUUAUAGUGUCCAAGUGGCUAUGUUUGCCACAAUGCUCCCCCAGAACCAAGCCGGCAUACACAGUCUGAUCCCAACGGAUCGGCUUGGGGAUGUCCGGAGGAGGGCUCACAGAUCACUUUUCAAGGUCGGUUUGUCUAGAUAACCCGUCGGCGUUACCGUUUUGUUUUCCCGGGCGAUAAUGGAUAGUAAAGUCAAAAGGCUGCAGCGCCAAACUCCAGCGCAGCAGCCUGGCAUUGUCUCCAGCCACACGGUUCAGCCACACCAACGGGUUGUGAUCUGUGAGUAAAGAGAAGGGUUGCCCAUAGAGAUACGGCUAUAACUUUUUGAGGGCCCACACCACGGCCAGGCAUUCUUUUUCGAUGGCAGCGUAGCUCACUUCUCGGGGAAACAGUUUCCGGCUCAAAUAAGCUACGGGAUGUUCUCCGCCAUCUGCUCCCACCUGGCUCAGUACUGCUCCCAAUCCAAACAUGGAGGCAUCUGUGUGGACAAGAAAACGUUUAGUUGGAUCAGGAGCAGCAAGUACAGGAGCAUUUGUCAGAGCCGUCUUCAGUUGGUUAAAUCCCUGUUCACACUCUGGGGCCCAGAGGACCUGUCUGGGUAGGUUUUUCCACGUCAAGUCAGUCAGGGGCUUGGCCAGGGCACUGUAAUUGGGCACAAACUUCCUAUAAUACCCGGCGGUACCUAAGAAAGCAAGGACUUGCGUUUUAGUCCUAGGGGUGGGCCACUUGGCUACGGCUUCAAUCUUUGCGGGCUCAGGCUUCUGUUGCCCGCUCCCCACUCGGUGUCCUAAGUAUUGCACCUCCGCAAUCCCUAUGUGGCACUUGCUUGUUUUUAAGGUAAGCCCUGACUCUCCAAUCCGAUCUAUCACGGCCCCUAUGUGUCGUAGAUGAUCAGCCCGGGGCAUCCGGGGCAUCGGGUAGGCGUCCGACACGGUUUUGUCGUUUAGCCUCUGGUAGUCCACACAAAACCGGGUUGUAGCGUCUUUCUUGGGAACCAGGACUACCGGCGAUGCCCAGGGGCUAUCAGAGUGUUCGAUAACCCCCAACUGCAACAUCUCCUCAAUCUCUUUCCUCAUAUGCUCCCGUAUGGAUUCGGGAAUCCGAUAUGGGGUCUGUCGCAUAGGAAGCUGUCCCGGGGUUUCUACUCGGUGAGUGGCCAGUGGACUGUACCCAGGUAAGUUAGAAAAGGUGGCGCCCUUCGCCGCUAUCAGUUCCUGUACUUGGGUGCGCUCUUGAGGACUUAGCCGCUCCCUCAGCUGAACCCCCUGGGAGGGCUCCUUCUGCUCCUCCUGCUCUAACAGAUCUGGGAGAGGUAGGUUCUCCUGAUCUUCCUAGGCGGGAGUGCAAAUGGCUGCCACGUCCUCGGUUCUCUCGUGGUAGGGUUUGAGCAUGUUCACAUGGAGCAUGCGUCGCUUCCCUACCCUGGAGCAUGGGCCAAUCACAUAGGUGGUAUCGCAUCUCUGCUCUACCACCUGGUAUGGGCCCUGCCAGACGGCCUGUAGUUUGUCUGUGCGGACAGGUUUGAGAAUUAACACCUUCUGCCCCACUUGAAAACUACGGUCUCUGGCCCCCCUGUCAUACCAACGGCGCUGACGUUGUUGGGCGGCCUGGAGGUUAGUGCGCACUGCCUGGGUCAAUUCCUCCAGGCGAUUCCGGAACGCCAGCACAUAUGGUACAAUAGGGGUCCCAUCUGCGCUACUCUCCCCCUCCCAAUGCUCUCUAAUGAGGUCCAACGGUCCCCGUACCCUUCUCCCAAACAACAGCUCAAAUGGGGAGAAGCCGGUAGAUUCUUGGGGUACCUCCCUGUAUGCAAACAACAGAUGGGGAAGGAACCGCUCCCAGUCUUUAUGGGUCUCCCCGAAUGUACGGAGCAUCUGUUUUAAAGUACCGUUGAACCUCUCACAUAAUCCGUUGGAUUGGGGAUGGUAAGCAGAGUUAACGAUCAGCUUAAUGCCACAUACUUUCCAUAGCUGCUGGGUGACCUCGGCUAUAAAUUGUGUCCCCCUAUCGGAGAUAAUUUCCUGCGGGAACCCUACUCUUGAAAAGAUUUUCAUCAGGGCUUCUGCCACUGUCUCCGCAUGAAUAUUUGUUAGGGCAAUCGCCUCGGGGUACCGGGUGGAGUAGUCCACCACGGUCAGUAUAUACCGCUUCCCAGAGGGGCUGGGUUUGGGUAGCGGUCCCACUAUAUCUACGGCCACACGGCUAAAAGGUUCCUCAAUUAUAGGUAGGGGACACAGUUUCGCUUUGUGGCGAUCCCCUCUCUUACCUACCUGCUGACACACAUCACAGGAGGUACAAUAGUGCCUUACAUCUUUAGAAAUCCCGUGCCAGAAGAAAGCGUGGGUUAAGCGAUACCGGGUACGAGUCAUCCCUAAAUGGCCAGACAGAGGGAUGUCAUGAGCUAUUCUCAAUAACUCGGGUCUAUAUUUCUGGGGUACUACCAGCUGUUUGGUUUGAACUGUCACAGAGCUCCCUAUCGCCCUUUCAGCUAUCCGGUACAACAAUUUGUUUUCCCAAAUGUACCGCUCCCCCUCCCAUCCUACCUGGUCCGUGUCCACCCUAUCCCUGUACACCUGCAGUGUGGGGUCUGUCUGGACCUCAGCUUCAAAGGUGGUCGGGGUGUCCCAGGUCAUAUGAGUCGAGGGGAGUCAUGGUCUCUUACCUGAGCCUCAGAGUGUGCUGGUGGAACCGUGGUGCGAGCCUGUUGCCGGGUAGUUAUGGGAUGAGCUUCUUGCGAAGGGGCCUGAGGUACGAAGGCCGAAGUCAUCUGGCCCAAGUCAUUCCCCAAUACGACAUCUGCCGGUAACUUUUUCAUCAUAGCCACUUCCACAACCCCCUCCCCAGCACCCCAGUUCAAAUGCACCUUUGCAGUGGGUAGACGGUACAUGGCUCCCCCUGCCACCCUGACUGCCACCGAUCCGCCAGUGUGGGCUGUAUCUGGGACCAAAUGUGGAGCAACCAGGGUUAAAGUGGCUCCCGAGUCCCUCAGCCCCUGUACUUCUUUCCCCCCCACAAACACAACUUGACGGUGGUGCUGCCUGUAGUCCGUGGCUUGCACAGACAUUACCUCAUACAAAACCCCCAGGGGUUCCUCGGCCUGCAGGCUCAUCAGCUCAGGGGUGUCUGGUUCUGCGUGGUAAUAAUGCGCCGCUGCCCUUUGGGUGGAAUUCUGCCGCACUUGGUUCCACGCCUGUCUACUCCGAUUCUGGGUGCACUCCCGGGACAUAUGCCCCCACUGACGGCAGGUAUGGCAUUGGAUGUUUGCCCUGCCAUUGUAGCGGGAUGGUGGUGGGGGGUUUCCUGGUGCUGGCCGGAAUGGAGUGGAGUUGGUUGGUGCCUAGGUGGUCGGGUGGUGCUGUACAGGUGGUCUCAGGGGACCCUUGUUGGUGGGCCCAUGAUGCCUCCUGGCAUCAAAGUGUUGAUCCGCCAACCGGGCGGCUUCAGUUAGGGUGAGGAGUUUUCUGUCCCUUACCCAUUCUUGUGCCUCUGGUAAAAGUCCGUUAAAGAACUGCUCCAGUAAAAUUAGUUGGCACAGUUCCUCCAUGGUGGUGGCUUGGCUGGCCUGAAUCCACCCUUGCGAAGCUUGGUCGAGCUUAUGUGCCCACUCAGCGUGGGAAUCUUUUUCAGGCUUCCACAAUCCCCGAAAUUUGCGCCGAUACGCCUCCGGUGUGAUGGCAUAUCUCUCUAGGAUCGCCCGUUUGACUUUGAAAUAGUCUUUGCUUUCCUCUCUGGGGACAGCGCGAUAGGCCUCUGCUGCCCGCCCUGCCAACUUGCCUGCUAGCAGGGGUACCCACACUGCCUGCUCCAGGUCGUGUAGGUCACAUAGCCGCUCAAAAUCCUGCAGAUACCCGUCAAUCUCAUCCUUCUCCUCACAGAAUGCUUUAAACGCCUGGUACGGUAUCUUCUGUUUCACUGGAGCGCAGAAUGAAUUAGCGAUGGAUUCUGCCCUGGAUGGUGCCCCCUGGUACUGUUGUGCAAUAAUGUAUUCCUGUACGUCUGCCAUCAGGACGGUCAAGAUGUCCAGGGUUACUGGCUGGGGUAAAAAAUUCCAGCCGGGUUCUCAGUUCCCUCUGAUAUGGGGUUUCCUCCCUGGCUGGUGGGGGUGGGCUGCUGUGUGCUCGGUAGCCCUCCAUCAGUUCUGCAAUUAGUACUGCCUUUGAUUUAUUGCUAGCGCUUUUCCCUCUAGCCUCCAGCAGUUCCUUUAGCGUCUGCCUUUUCAAAGUCGUGUAAUCAGUCCCCAUUCACUGAUCUCUUUCGUCUGUUUGCUGCAUACGAAUUGCCAUUCCCUUUUUCCGUUCGGUUGUUUCUUUCAUUCGAAUGCGCUGUAUUCGGCUGUAGAGUUGGAUCCCGUCGCUUGCCACCAAUUGUAGCGGAACGCCAAUAUUAAAUCCACGAAUUCCGCUGGUUCAGGAAAUAAUCCACAGUCGAGCGCUGGAAAAAGCAAGGCAAUAUCCCAAAUCUCGCAGUAACCGGACAAAACACAGUUCUGAGAGUCAACUGAGGUCUUUUAUUUCAGCUCCACAAUUUAUACAAGUCCCCAUGCAAGGGGUUUCCUGAGUCCCUUCCCAGGGGCAGUCCCAGAGGGGACUACAUGGGGGACUUAUUGUACAAGCUAUUUCUCCC
Molecule: long non-coding RNA, 5512 nt
Filed under: Pelobates cultripes (western spadefoot toad)
Lineage: Eukaryota; Metazoa; Chordata; Amphibia; Anura; Pelobatidae
Source: RNAcentral